GGAUUUUGGGCGUAAGGGCUCGCAGGCGGUUUCUUAAGUCUGAUGUGAAAGCCCCCGGCUCAACCGGGGAGGGUCAUUGGAAACUGGGGAACUUGAGUGCAGAAGAGGAGAGUGGAAUUCCACGUGUAGCGGUGAAAUGCGUAGAGAUGUGGAGGAACACCAGUGGCGAAGGCGACUCUCUGGUCUGUAACUGACGCUGAGGAGCGAAAGCGUGGGGAGCGAACAGGAUUAGAUACCCUGGUAGUCCACGCCGUAAACGAUGAGUGCUAAGUGUUAGGGGGUUUCCGCCCCUUAGUGCUGCAGCUAACGCAUUAAGCACUCCGCCUGGGGAGUACGGUCGCAAGACUGAAACUCAAAGGAAUUGACGGGGGCCCGCACAAGCGGUGGAGCAUGUGGUUUAAUUCGAAGCAACGCGAAGAACCUUACCAGGUCUUGACAUCCUCUGACAAUCCUAGAGAUAGGACGUCCCCUUCGGGGGCAGAGUGACAGGUGGUGCAUGGUUGUCGUCAGCUCGUGUCGUGAGAUGUUGGGUUAAGUCCCGCAACGAGCGCAACCCUUGAUCUUAGUUGCCAGCAUUCAGUUGGGCACUCUAAGGUGACUGCCGGUGACAAACCGGAGGAAGGUGGGGAUGACGUCAAAUCAUCAUGCCCCUUAUGACCUGGGCUACACACGUGCUACAAUGGACAGAACAAAGGGCAGCGAAACCGCGAGGUUAAGCCAAUCCCACAAAUCUGUUCUCAGUUCGGAUCGCAGUCUGGCACUCGACUGCGUGAAGCUGGAAUCGCUAGUAAUCGCGGAUCAGCAUGCCGCGGUGAAUACGUUCCCG
RNAcentral lists this ribosomal RNA (826 nucleotides) under Bacillus subtilis. RNAcentral describes it as "bacterial SSU rRNA". It matches the Rfam family "Bacterial small subunit ribosomal RNA", at positions 547 to 1376 of the family's 1533-position model. The record is from RNAcentral. Lineage: Bacteria; Bacillati; Bacillota; Bacilli; Caryophanales; Bacillaceae.